RNAcentral lists this long non-coding RNA (756 nucleotides) under Triticum aestivum (bread wheat). RNAcentral's name for it is "long non-coding RNA (TAES_LNC028038)". The record is from RNAcentral. Lineage: Eukaryota; Viridiplantae; Streptophyta; Magnoliopsida; Poales; Poaceae.
CAUGCCCAAGCUAUGAAGUCAAAGUCAACCCUUGCUGAAAUCUAAAUCCACGCACCACUAACCUGCACAUGAAGCUAUUUUCAACAAUCAGAGAAGAUACCCAAUGGCAUGUCUUGACACAGGGAGAAAGCUGCAGGCAUCCAAUGCUCAGAAGGAAGACUACACUCUUCCCAGGUUCUCACUCAACUUAGUUUAGUAAUGGACGGGCAUGAGAAAAAUGGCACUAACUCUACCAAAACCAUGUAUGUUUUGCAUAAACCACAUGUGCCGUACUAACUCCCAGCGCUACCAACAGCAACACCAUGUCGUAUAGUUAUCUGGUGAUCUUAUGGGUGUAUUAAGAUGAAGAAAUUCAAAAGGAAAAGAUCAAACCACUUGAAAGUCUUCCACAACCCAUACCCACAAACUAAAUAAAAGACUGGUUUCACAACAAACCCAGACCACUAGUUAAAUGCACAUGGAUAAUAAAUAUAUAAUGAAGCUCCCAGUGCCAAACUAAAAUAAAUACAAGCGACCAGGUUGAUAGUAAUAAGAGAGCGACUACAGUGGCAAGUGAAAUGCUGCAUACCAAUUAAGUAUAAGCCCAUCUGUGCAGCUUCUAAUUGCCAUAUACAGUUGAUGGACAAUGUGUAGACAUCAUAAGAAGCCUUCAAUCCCAUGGAUUGUGCUCCAUAUACAGCUUCUCAUUGCCAUACACGGGUUUCCAUUCCCAUUCAUUGUGCUCCAAAGAGAGAGCCUUCAAGUAGACAAUGAUUU